Macaca mulatta (Rhesus monkey) is the source of this 1165-nucleotide non-coding RNA. The record is from RefSeq and is a predicted model, not a curated record. Lineage: Eukaryota; Metazoa; Chordata; Mammalia; Primates; Cercopithecidae.
UUCUCUGCCUGUACCCCUAAUCUCUGUUUGUUUGUUUUUGAGACAGAGCCUCUCUAUUGCCCAGGCUGGAGUGCAGUGGCACCAUCUUGGCUUCAGUGGACCCGGAGAGAAGGCCAGACUGGCUGGAAUGGCUGAUAAGAGAGGAAACUCUAAAGGAGAAAGCCUCUCCUGCUGGGCCAGAGGGGCCGGACCAGAUUGGAACUCAGAGCUAACUCCAAAGACCUCACACUCUCAGCUCUAUGAAGCUGCUUCUCCAAUUGGAAGCCAAGAUUCCCCCAGGGAAGCCGAGGAAAGCACUGUGACGAUGCUGAUGCUGGUGGCCAUUACUGGGCAUCUGCUAUGAAUGGAUACAUACCCAGAUGCGAAUAACGAUGGCAGUUACUGUUGAGCAUCUACAGGGUGUAUUUUACACUCAUCACUGCAUGUACUCUUCUCAUCACACCUAGGAGGUAAAUGUCAUUAUUCCCAUUUGACAAAAGACAAAAAUAGGGUGAGGCAGCUGCCUAGCCUCACUGGUUGUGGAACAACCAGAAUUUCCAAACCGAGGUUAUUCCGGCUCCAAAGUCUUCCUACUCACUUAACCCACUGCUGUUCCUUGUUCUGCUGGCCUCAUAUGACCUGAGUUUUCAAUGAGCAAAUCCUAGUUUCUUCACCGGACCCAAAUCCCAUCUGCACUUUUAUUCCCACCACUGCUCACCUGUCAGGAAGAACUGAUGACAUUUUAUCCCCUGUGCUUGCCUACCUGGCCUGACUCCAGGGCCCUCCCUUGUUUCUGCUGCCUGACCUUGGAGAAGGCAGUUCUGGCUAGUCCUGGGUGCCUAGUCUCCCUCUUCUAAAUGGCUGGGGUGCAGGAAUGUGCCUGGAGAGUAAGGCCACUAGACUACAGCAAGAGUCUCAGCAGAGGGAUGACCUGUUUCUUUCAUCUUUUAAAACUAUGUCUGUAUUAGUCCUUGAUUGUAAAAGUGAAAUAUUCUUUCUAAUAUGGGUUUUGUUGGGACGCAGUAUUGGGCGGUGGCUAAGAGUGUGGAUCAAACAAUAUACAGUAGGUUUAACUCAUUCAAACAACAGCAAGAUGGUAUUUCACAAAUGAACCACAAUUUAGUCAACCAAUCUUCUGCUAAUGGAUAGUCACUUGGUUUCCAGUUUUUUUCUUUUUCUUUUUGGU